Molecule: ribosomal RNA, 120 nt
Filed under: uncultured bacterium
Lineage: Bacteria
Description: partial 16S ribosomal RNA
Rfam family: Bacterial small subunit ribosomal RNA
Source: RNAcentral
CAUGCCGUAAACGUUGGGCACUAGGUGUGGGGUCCGUUUCCACGGGUUCUGCGCCGUAGCUAACGCAUUAAGUGCCCCGCCUGGGGAGUACGGCCGCAAGGCUAAAACUCAAAGGAAUUG